UUGAUGGCGACCGGCGCACGGGUGCGUAACGCGUAUGCAACCUACCCAGAACAGGGGGAUAACACUGAGAAAUUGGUACUAAUAUCCCAUAACAUCAUGAAGGGCAUCCUUUAUGGUUGAAAACUCCGGUGGUUCUGGAUGGGCAUGCGUUGUAUUAGCUAGUUGGUGAGGUAACGGCUCACCAAGGCAACGAUACAUAGGGGGACUGAGAGGUUAACCCCCCACAUUGGUACUGAGACACGGACCAAACUCCUACGGGAGGCAGCAGUGAGGAAUAUUGGUCAAUGGACGCAAGUCUGAACCAGCCAUGCCGCGUGCAGGAAGACGGCUCUAUGAGUUGUAAACUGCUUUUGUACGAGGGUAAACUCAGAUACGUGUAUCUGACUGAAAGUAUCGUACGAAUAAGGAUCGGCUAACUCCGUGCCAGCAGCCGCGGUAAUACGGAGGAUUCAAGCGUUAUCCGGAUUUAUUGGGUUUAAAGGGUGCGUAGGCGGUUAGAUAAGUUAGAGGUGAAAUACCGGUGCUUAACACCGGAACUGCCUCUAAUACUGUUUAGCUAGAGAAUAGUUGCGGUAGGCGGAAUGUAUGGUG
Molecule: ribosomal RNA, 591 nt
Filed under: uncultured Bacteroidales bacterium
Lineage: Bacteria; Pseudomonadati; Bacteroidota; Bacteroidia; Bacteroidales
Description: bacterial SSU rRNA
Rfam family: Bacterial small subunit ribosomal RNA
Source: RNAcentral